This 603-nucleotide ribosomal RNA is filed under the name uncultured Enterobacterales bacterium. Its description in RNAcentral is "bacterial SSU rRNA". It matches the Rfam family "Bacterial small subunit ribosomal RNA", at positions 72 to 669 of the family's 1533-position model. The record is from RNAcentral. Lineage: Bacteria; Pseudomonadati; Pseudomonadota; Gammaproteobacteria; Enterobacterales.
CAGAGAGCUUGCUCUCGGGUGACGGGUGGCGGACGGGUGAGUAAUGUCUGGGAAACUGCCUGAUGGAGGGGGAUAACUACUGGAAACGGUAGCUAAUACCGCAUAACGUCGCAAGACCAAAGAGGGGGACCUUCGGGCCUCUUGCCAUCAGAUGUGCCCAGAUGGGAUUAGCUAGUAGGUGGGGUAACGGCUCACCUAGGCGACGAUCCCUAGCUGGUCUGAGAGGAUGACCAGCCACACUGGAACUGAGACACGGUCCAGACUCCUACGGGAGGCGGCAGUGGGGAAUAUUGCACAAUGGGCGCAAGCCUGAUGCAGCCAUGCCGCGUGUAUGAAGAAGGCCUUCGGGUUGUAAAGUACUUUCAGCGGGGAGGAAGGUGUUGCGGUUAAUAACCGCAGCAAUUGACGUUACCCGCAGAAGAAGCACCGGCUAACUCCGUGCCAGCAGCCGCGGUAAUACGGAGGGUGCAAGCGUUAAUCGGAAUUACUGGGCGUAAAGCGCACGCAGGCGGUCUGUCAAGUCGGAUGUGAAAUCCCCGGGCUCAACCUGGGAACUGCAUUCGAAACUGGCAGGCUAGAGUCUUGUAGAGGGGGGUAGAAUUC